GCCUCGGUGGUGUAGUGGGUAGAACACGAGUACCCGGAUAGGACAAAACACGGGUUUGAUUCCCGCCUGAGGCC
Parelaphostrongylus tenuis is the source of this 74-nucleotide non-coding RNA. The record is from the annotation of a GenBank genome assembly. Lineage: Eukaryota; Metazoa; Nematoda; Chromadorea; Rhabditida; Metastrongylidae.